This 745-nucleotide ribosomal RNA is filed under the name uncultured bacterium. RNAcentral's name for it is "bacterial SSU rRNA". It matches the Rfam family "Bacterial small subunit ribosomal RNA", at positions 33 to 773 of the family's 1533-position model. The record is from RNAcentral.
ACGCUGGCGGCAGGCCUAACACAUGCAAGUCGAGCGGUAGAGAGAGGCUUGCUUCUCUUGAGAGCGGCGGACGGGUGAGUAAUGCCUAGGAAUCUGCCUGGUAGUGGGGGAUAACGUUCGGAAACGGACGCUAAUACCGCAUACGUCCUACGGGAGAAAGCAGGGGACCUUCGGGCCUUGCGCUAUCAGAUGAGCCUAGGUCGGAUUAGCUAGUUGGUGAGGUAAUGGCUCACCAAGGCGACGAUCCGUAACUGGUCUGAGAGGAUGAUCAGUCACACUGGAACUGAGACACGGUCCAGACUCCUACGGGAGGCAGCAGUGGGGAAUAUUGGACAAUGGGCGAAAGCCUGAUCCAGCCAUGCCGCGUGUGUGAAGAAGGUCUUCGGAUUGUAAAGCACUUUAAGUUGAGAGGAAGGGCAGUUACCUAAUACGUAUCUGUUUUGACGUUACCGACAGAAUAAGGACCGGCUAACUCUGUGCCAGCAGCCGCGGUAAUACAGAGGGUGCAAGCGUUAAUCGGAAUUACUGGGCGUAAAGCGCGCGUAGGUGGUUUGUUAAGUUGAAUGUGAAAUCCCCGGGCUCAACCUGGGAACUGCAUGCAAAACUGGCAAGCUAGAGUAUGGUAGAGGGUGGUGGAAUUUCCUGUGUAGCGGUGAAAUGCGUAGAUAUAGGAAGGAACACCAGUGGCGAAGGCGACCACCUGGACUGAUACUGACACUGAGGUGCGAAAGCGUGGGGAGCAAAC